GCCAGGUGUGGUGGCACACACCUGAAAUCCCAGUGGCUAGGGAGGCUGAGGCAGGAGGAUCACAAGUUCAAAGCCAGCCUCAGCAAAAUUGAGGUGCAACUCAGUGAGACCCUGUCUCUA
This 120-nucleotide small RNA is filed under the name Marmota monax (woodchuck). The record is from RNAcentral. Lineage: Eukaryota; Metazoa; Chordata; Mammalia; Rodentia; Sciuridae.